UUAUAAUUUAUUUUGUUAGUCUUAAACCAUGUACGAAAACUAAUUAAAGAAAAACAAAAUACAAUUAUAAACAAAUAGACUAACAGUACCGUGUUUGGAUAUACAUUAUUUAAAAGCAAAAUAAUUACGGAUACCCGCAAGUUUUUCUGUGAGAACACAAACAGCCCUUUACUCAGACACUCGUCUUUUCCUCGCUCGCCUACCUUCUUCUCUCUCCCUCUUCACUUCGUCGUUCUUCAAUUCUCAAAAUCACUCCAUAUUUCUUCGUCAUUACGAGAAAUCAGAACGAUAAAUCGUCUCGCUAACUGUUUUCUCGAUUUUUACGUGUUUAAAUUCAAUAAAUAGAGUGAGGAACCGGAAAAAUUGAAGGUUCUUUAGGGUUCUAGGUUUUGGAAUUUUGAUGAUUCCAGGACUAGGUCACCGAAUCGAGCGGGUGCGAUCGCUUUCGUCCAGGAGAUUUUUCUUUUUGGUACGAAAUGCCUCGCGCAUCGAAAGAGAAAGACGGCCGCACCGAACUCAUCAUCCGUCCAAUCCGACGGUGGUCGUCCCGGUACUUACUGCCUUCGUUUCCUUUUUUUCUUUCACCUUUUAUGCUUCUUUCCGUUUGAAUGCCUCGUCGUUUCCAACCCUGUUUGGUUCGCCGGAAAGCGCGGGAAAAUUGUAAAGAAAAUGGAGAAUGAAUUGGAAGAACGGGAAUCAUUACCGGAUUCUGUCAACAUUCCACUGAUUUUAUAUAAUUUAAUUUGAUUUUCAUUUUUCUUUGUCACGCAAAACAAUAUGACUAUUCUGUUUGGUUGCCCGGAAACGGCGAGAAAACAUGUACCGGAAACGGCGAGAGACGCUUAAAUGAGAAGCAGAACGUGCGAGUAGCCUACAGCUGUUAGUUUCUGAGAGACUGACAUCGUAAAUACGUAAUAAUUAAAAUUUAACUAAUUUAAGUAAAAUUAAUUUUUUUUAAAAUAUUUGAUAUAUAAUUUUUUACACCCA
Molecule: long non-coding RNA, 987 nt
Filed under: Carica papaya (papaya)
Lineage: Eukaryota; Viridiplantae; Streptophyta; Magnoliopsida; Brassicales; Caricaceae
Description: long non-coding RNA (CPAP_LNC008945)
Source: RNAcentral